UUCUUGGUCAUUUAGAGGAAGUAAAAGUCGUAACAAGGUUUCCGUAGGUGAACCUGCGGAAGGAUCAUUACCGAGAGGAGGACCUUGCGUCCCCGGGGGGCUUCGGCCCCCACUCUUCACCCUGUGCGUACCCACCGUUGUUGCUUCGGCGCGCGGUCCGCGCCCGCGGCCCCGCCGGAGGCUUUCAAAACCCCGUCGUCAGUGUCGUCUGAGGAGAAAUCCAAUAACUAAAACUUUCAACAACGGAUCUCUUGGUUCUGGCAUCGAUGAAGAACGCAGCGAAAUGCGAUAAUUAAUGUGAAUUGCAGAAUUCAGUGAAUCAUCGAAUCUUUGAACGCACAUUGCGCCCCUUGGCAUUCCGAGGGGCAUGCCUGUUCGAGCGUCAUUGCAACCCUCAAGCACCGCUUGGUUCUGGGCUUCGUCCGCAGGGGCGUGCCCGAAAGACAGUGGCGGCCCGGCCGGGGCCCCGAGCGCAGUAGAUUACCGUUCGCUCUGGGCGCCCCCGCGGCGGCCAGCCAGCCAACACCCUCCGAUUUUCAAUGGUUGACCUCGGAUCAGGUAGGGAUACCCGCUGAACUUAAGCAUAUCAAUAAGCGGAGGAAAAGAAACCAACAGGGAUUGCCUCAGUAACGGCGAGUGAAGCGGCAACAGCUCAAAUUUGAAAUCUGGUCCUUUCGGGGCCCGAGUUGUAAUUUGCAGAGGAUGUUUCGGGCGCGGCGCCGGUGUAAGUUCCUUGGAACAGGACGUCGUAGAGGGUGAGAAUCCCGUAUGCGACCGGUGACCAACCCCAUGUGAAACCCCUUCGACGAGUCGAGUUGUUUGGGAAUGCAGCUCAAAAUGGGUGGUAAAUUUCAUCUAAAGCUAAAUACCGGCCAGAGACCGAUAGCGCACAAGUAGAGUGAUCGAAAGAUGAAAAGCACUUUGGAAAGAGAGUCAAACAGUACGUGAAAUUGUUGAAAGGGAAGCGCUUGCAACCAGACCUGCCCGCGGGUGAUCAGCCGUCCUUCUGGGCGGUGCACUCGCCCGCGAUCAGGCCAGCAUCGGUUCGGGCGGCCGGAUAAAGGCCCCGGGAAUGUAGCUCCUUCCGGGGAGUCUUAUAGCCCGGGGUGCAAUGCGGCCCGCCCGGACUGAGGA
This 1134-nucleotide ribosomal RNA is filed under the name Porpidia macrocarpa. RNAcentral's name for it is "eukaryotic LSU rRNA". The stretch from base 545 to 1134 matches the Rfam family "Eukaryotic large subunit ribosomal RNA", at positions 1 to 672 of the family's 3401-position model. The record is from RNAcentral. Lineage: Eukaryota; Fungi; Ascomycota; Lecanoromycetes; Lecideales; Lecideaceae.